RNAcentral lists this ribosomal RNA (460 nucleotides) under uncultured bacterium. RNAcentral's name for it is "partial 16S ribosomal RNA". It matches the Rfam family "Bacterial small subunit ribosomal RNA", at positions 338 to 795 of the family's 1533-position model. The record is from RNAcentral.
CCUACGGGCGGCAGCAGUGAGGAAUAUUGGUCAAUGGACGAGAGUCUGAACCAGCCAAGUAGCGUGAAGGAUGACUGCCCUAUGGGUUGUAAACUUCUUUUAUAUGGGAAUAAAACGUUCCACGUGUGGUGUUUUGUAUGUACCAUAUGAAUAAGGAUCGGCUAACUCCGUGCCAGCAGCCGCGGUAAUACGGAGGAUCCGAGCGUUAUCCGGAUUUAUUGGGGUUAAAGGGAGCGUAGGCGGAUUGUUAAGUCAGUUGUGAAAGGGUGCGGCUCAACCGUAGAAUUGCAGUUGAAACUGGCAGUCUUGAGUGCAGUAGAGGUGUGCGGAAUUCGUGGUGUAGCGGUGAAAUGCUUAGAUAUCACGAAGAACUCCGAUUGCGAAGGCAGUUCACUGGACUGCAACUGACACUGAGGCUCGAAAGUGCGGGUAUCAAACAGGAUUAGAUACCCGAGUAGUC